This 585-nucleotide ribosomal RNA is filed under the name Hanseniaspora sp. YS DN19. RNAcentral's name for it is "eukaryotic LSU rRNA". It matches the Rfam family "Eukaryotic large subunit ribosomal RNA", at positions 62 to 661 of the family's 3401-position model. The record is from RNAcentral. Lineage: Eukaryota; Fungi; Ascomycota; Saccharomycetes; Saccharomycodales; Saccharomycodaceae.
AAACCAACUGGGAUUACCUUAGUAACGGCGAGUGAAGCGGUAAAAGCUCAAAUUUGAAAUCUGGUACUUUCAGUGCCCGAGUUGUAAUUUGUAGAAUUUGUCUUUGAUUAGGUCCUUGUCUAUGUUCCUUGGAACAGGACGUCAUAGAGGGUGAGAAUCCCGUUUGGCGAGGAUACCUUUUCUCUGUAAGACUUUUUCGAAGAGUCGAGUUGUUUGGGAAUGCAGCUCAAAGUGGGUGGUAAAUUCCAUCUAAAGCUAAAUAUUGGCGAGAGACCGAUAGCGAACAAGUACAGUGAUGGAAAGAUGAAAAGAACUUUGAAAAGAGAGUGAAAAAGUACGUGAAAUUGUUGAAAGGGAAGGGCAUUUGAUCAGACAUGGUGUUUUUUGCAUGCACUCGCCUCUCGUGGGCUUGGGCCUCUCAAAAAUUUCACUGGGCCAACAUCAAUUCUGGCAGUAGGAUAAAUCAUUAAGAAUGUAGCUACCUCGGUAGUGUUAUAGCUUAUUGGAAUACUGCUAGCUGGGAUUGAGGACUGCGCUUCGGCAAGGAUGUUGGCAUAAUGGUUAAAUGCCGCCCGUCUUGAAACA